AAUAAUUCGGAGGGUACAAGAGAGUGUGAUACACCCAUCGUUUCUCUGUCUCUCGCAUAAGCUUAAAGAUUGUGCAAAAAAUUCAUCUAUUUGAAAUGCAUUUCAAAAACAGAUGGCCCCAUGUGUUAUCUUCUAUUCUCGCUACUGCUUUUUCCUCUAUUACGAAAGAGAAAUCCAAAGUUCCUUUUUAAUCCAGCCUUCCUAUACUGCCAGUUGAAGUGAAUCCAUUCUGCUCCUCGACACGGCCUUGUGAAGGUCGGGAGGGCGUUGCCCGGCCUUGAGUGAGUGAGCGACCGAGCGAUGUCAGCUUGUGCGUACAUCAAGCUAUAUAUAAAAACACAUUUCUUAUCACUUAAUGCAACUUGGAGAGUGAUUGAGUGCACUACACGUACUAGCUGCCGAGGAGGGCUAUCACAAUUGGCGAGCACUACAUACUCCACAGAGGUCACCGCUAACAUUAUUGAUUGUAAGUAAAAAUUUUUGUUACAUUCUCAUAUUUUUGUGAAAUAACACUAAAUUGAUUUUUAUAAUAUAUAUUUAGUGUUACAGUUUGGUUACAUUGUUUUUCCACAGCAUUUUCUCACCUCACUACUCAUAAGCAGUUGUGCUCUCGUGAAGGAACCUUACCUGUAUCGAGAAAAUCAUAGCUGAGGAGCUAGCUGAGAGGAGCCUAUCCGAUUAUUUCAUUUCGUCAAAUCAACACAUCAUUUUCUCACCUCUCAACUCGAGGAGUCAAAGGCAGUAUCUACACCUGAGAGGAAUCAAUCAUACCAUAGACCGCUAUCUACACCUGUAGCAUAGGCCGCUAUCUACACCUGUAGCAUAGGCUGCUAUCUACACCUCUACACUCGAGGAGAUUCACGCACCAUCAACACAUUAUCAUGCCGAGGGAACGCAGACUUCGUGGGAUCAAUUCAAGCGCAGUUCGCCAUCGCAUCAGUUUUGAGGAUGAGGAUAUUGACAUUGAGAGUGUGCUUGAGAGGACGAAAACUCGAGUGUUCGAGAUAAUUAGGGAGCAUGCGGCACGGUAUGAUGCAAAUGUUAAGUGGUACAUAGUGCUUAACGUUUUAUUGUAUAAAUUAGUGGUGCUGGAUGACAAGGUUGAUGAGUCUGUUUCAUC
This is a long non-coding RNA of Nilaparvata lugens (brown planthopper), 1120 nucleotides long. RefSeq lists it as uncharacterized. Lineage: Eukaryota; Metazoa; Arthropoda; Insecta; Hemiptera; Delphacidae. The record is from RefSeq and is a predicted model, not a curated record. The transcript is spliced from 3 exons.